UACGGAGGGGGCUAGCGUUGUUCGGAAUUACUGGGCGUAAAGCGCACGUAGGCGGCUUUGCAAGUUAGAGGUGAAAGCCCGGAGCUUAACUCCGGAAUUGCCUUUAAAACUGCAUCGCUAGAAUUGUGGAGAGGUGAGUGGAAUUCCGAGUGUAGAGGUGAAAUUCGUAGAUAUUCGGAAGAACACCAGUGGCGAAGGCGGCUCACUGGCCCGAUACUGACGCUGAGGCACGAAAGCGUGGGGAGCAAACAGG
This 253-nucleotide ribosomal RNA is filed under the name uncultured bacterium. RNAcentral's name for it is "partial 16S ribosomal RNA". It matches the Rfam family "Bacterial small subunit ribosomal RNA", at positions 524 to 776 of the family's 1533-position model. The record is from RNAcentral.